Cydia strobilella is the source of this 196-nucleotide long non-coding RNA. RefSeq lists it as uncharacterized. The record is from RefSeq and is a predicted model, not a curated record. NCBI's taxonomy places the organism in Eukaryota, Metazoa, Arthropoda, Insecta, Lepidoptera, Tortricidae. The transcript is spliced from 3 exons.
CGUGAUGCGUGUACUAUUCUUGCUCUGUCUGUUUGUGAUAAUAGCGCAGGCGUAUGAUGACAGAGCGGGUACCGUGACGAGCGUUAGGUCGCCAAAUCCCACAGCUUUACGGAAACUAUCAUUUUUCAAUUCUAUUGCUACUCUGGCUGAGAUCAUAGCUAAUGUUUUGGGGAUAGUUAUGGUAAAAUAUCUACAU